GAUGAACGCUGGCGGCGUGCCUAAUACAUGCAAGUCGAGCGAACGGACGAGAAGCUUGCUUCUCUGAUGUUAGCGGCGGACGGGUGAGUAACACGUGGAUAACCUACCUAUAAGACUGGGAUAACUUCGGGAAACCGGAGCUAAUACCGGAUAAUAUUUUGAACCGCAUGGUUCAAAAGUAAAAGACGGUCUUGCUGUCACUUAUAGAUGGAUCCGCGCUGCAUUAGCUAGUUGGUAAGGUAACGGCUUACCAAGGCAACGAUGCAUAGCCGACCUGAGAGGGUGAUCGGCCACACUGGAACUGAGACACGGUCCAGACUCCUACGGGAGGCAGCAGUAGGGAAUCUUCCGCAAUGGGCGAAAGCCUGACGGAGCAACGCCGCGUGAGUGAUGAAGGUCUUCGGAUCGUAAAACUCUGUUAUUAGGGAAGAAUAUAUGUGUAAGUAACUGUGCACAUCUUGACGGUACCUAAUCAGAAAGCCACGGCUAACUACGUGCCAGCAGCCGCGGUAAUACGUAGGUGGCAAGCGUUAUCCGGAAUUAUUGGGCGUAAAGCGCGCGUAGGCGGUUUUUUAAGUCUGAUGUGAAAGCCCACGGCUCAACCGUGGAGGGUCAUUGGAAACUGGAAAACUUGAGUGCAGAAGAGGAAAGUGGAAUUCCAUGUGUAGCGGUGAAAUGCGCAGAGAUAUGGAGGAACACCAGUGGCGAAGGCGACUUUCUGGUCUGUAACUGACGCUGAUGUGCGAAAGCGUGGGGAUCAAACAGGAUUAGAUACCCUGGUAGUCCACGCCGUAAACGAUGAGUGCUAAGUGUUAGGGGGUUUCCGCCCCUUAGUGCUGCAGCUAACGCAUUAAGCACUCCGCCUGGGGAGUACGACCGCAAGGUUGAAACCCAAAGGAAUUGACGGGGACCCGCACAAGCGGUGGAGCAUGUGGUUUAAUUCGAAGCAACGCGAAGAACCUUACCAAAUCUUGACAUCCUUUGACAACUCUAGAGAUAGAGCCUUCCCCUUCGGGGGACAAAGUGACAGGUGGUGCAUGGUUGUCGUCAGCUCGUGUCGUGAGAUGUUGGGUUAAGUCCCGCAACGAGCGCAACCCUUAAGCUUAGUUGCCAUCAUUAAGUUGGGCACUCUAAGUUGACUGCCGGUGACAAACCGGAGGAAGGUGGGGAUGACGUCAAAUCAUCAUGCCCCUUAUGAUUUGGGCUACACACGUGCUACAAUGGACAAUACAAAGGGCAGCGAAACCGCGAGGUCAAGCAAAUCCCAUAAAGUUGUUCUCAGUUCGGAUUGUAGUCUGCAACUCGACUACAUGAAGCUGGAAUCGCUAGUAAUCGUAGAUCAGCAUGCUACGGUGAAUACGUUCCCGGGUCU
Molecule: ribosomal RNA, 1372 nt
Filed under: uncultured bacterium
Lineage: Bacteria
Description: bacterial SSU rRNA
Rfam family: Bacterial small subunit ribosomal RNA
Source: RNAcentral